GUCCGGGUGGCGGAAUAGGCAGACGCGCUAGCUUGAGGUGCUAGUGCCCCACAAGGGCAUGGGGGUUCAAGUCCCCCCUCGGACA
Molecule: transfer RNA, 85 nt
Filed under: Actinomycetota bacterium
Lineage: Bacteria; Bacillati; Actinomycetota
Description: tRNA-Leu
Rfam family: tRNA
About the family: Transfer RNA (tRNA) molecules are approximately 80 nucleotides in length. Their secondary structure includes four short double-helical elements and three loops (D, anti-codon, and T loops).
Source: RNAcentral